This 1055-nucleotide ribosomal RNA is filed under the name Ophiocordyceps sporangifera. Its description in RNAcentral is "SSU rRNA". It matches the Rfam family "Eukaryotic small subunit ribosomal RNA", at positions 64 to 1134 of the family's 1831-position model. Lineage: Eukaryota; Fungi; Ascomycota; Sordariomycetes; Hypocreales; Ophiocordycipitaceae. The record is from RNAcentral.
UAUAGCAUUAUACGGCGAAACUGCGAAUGGCUCAUUAUAUAAGUUAUCGUUUAUUUGAUAGUACCUUACUACUUGGAUAACCGUGGUAAUUCUAGAGCUAAUACAUGCUGAAAAUCCCGACUUACGGAGGGAUGUAUUUAUUAGAUUAAAAACCAAUGCCCUCUGGGCUCUCUGGUGAUUCAUGAUAACUUCUCGAAUCGCACGGCCUUGCGCCGGCGAUGGUUCAUUCAAAUUUCUUCCCUAUCAACUUUCGAUGUUUGGGUAGUGGCCAAACAUGGUUGCAACGGGUAACGGAGGGUUAGGGCUCGACCCCGGAGAAGGAGCCUGAGAAACGGCUACUACAUCCAAGGAAGGCAGCAGGCGCGCAAAUUACCCAAUCCCGACACGGGGAGGUAGUGACAAUAAAUACUGAUACAGGGCUCUUUUGGGUCUUGUAAUUGGAAUGAGUACAAUUUAAAUCCCUUAACGAGGAACAAUUGGAGGGCAAGUCUGGUGCCAGCAGCCGCGGUAAUUCCAGCUCCAAUAGCGUAUAUUAAAGUUGUUGUGGUUAAAAAGCUCGUAGUUGAACCUUGGGCCUGGCUGGCCGGUCCGCCUCACCGCGUGCACUGGUCCGGCCGGGCCUUUCCCUCUGCGGAACCCCAUGCCCUUCACUGGGCGUGGCGGGGAAACAGGACUUUUACUUUGAAAAAAUUAGAGUGCUCCAGGCAGGCCUAUGCUCGAAUACAUUAGCAUGGAAUAAUGAAAUAGGACGUGCGGUUCUAUUUUGUUGGUUUCUAGGACCGCCGUAAUGAUUAAUAGGGACAGUCGGGGGCAUCAGUAUUCAAUUGUCAGAGGUGAAAUUCUUGGAUUUAUUGAAGACUAACUACUGCGAAAGCAUUUGCCAAGGAUGUUUUCAUUAAUCAGAACGAAAGUUAGGGAUCGAAGACGAUCAGAUACCGUCGUAGUCUUAACCAUAAACUAUGCCGACUAGGGAUCGGACGAUGUUAUUAUUUGACUCGUUCGGCACCUUACGAGAAAUCAAAGUGCUUGGGCUCCAAGGGGGAGUAUGGUCGGCA